This 2896-nucleotide ribosomal RNA is filed under the name Clostridioides difficile. RNAcentral describes it as "23S ribosomal RNA". It matches the Rfam family "Bacterial large subunit ribosomal RNA". Lineage: Bacteria; Bacillati; Bacillota; Clostridia; Peptostreptococcales; Peptostreptococcaceae. The record is from RNAcentral.
UCAAGUUAUUAAGGGUGCAGGGCGGAUGCCUUGGCACUAGGAGCCGAUGAAGGACGUGAUAAGCUGCGAUAAGCUUCGGGGAGUUGCACGUAAACUUUGAUCCGAAGAUUUCCGAAUGAGGAAACUCACUUAGAGUAAUGUCUAAGUAUCAUUAAGUGAAUACAUAGCUUAAUGAGGGGAACUCAGGGAACUGAAACAUCUAAGUACCUGAAGGAAGAGAAAGAAAUUCGAUUCCGUAAGUAGCGGCGAGCGAACGCGGAUUAGCCCAAACCAAUAAAGUUUUCUUUAUUGGGGUUGCGGACAUAUCAUAACGAAGAGGUAUCGUAAUUGAAGAGGUUUGGAAAGACCCACCACAGAAGGUAAUAGUCCUGUAUGUUAAACGAGAAGACUUCAGAUAUGAUCCAGAGUACCACGGGACACGUGAAACCCUGUGGGAAGCAGGAGGGACCACCCUCCAAGGCUAAAUACUACCUAGUGACCGAUAGCGUAUAGUACCGUGAGGGAAAGGUGAAAAGAACCCCGGGAGGGGAGUGAAAUAGAACCUGAAACCCUGCACUUACAAGCUGUGGAAGCACAUUUCUUGUGUGACCGCGUACUUUUUGUAGAACGGGCCAACGAGUUACGUUAAGUAGCAAGGUUAAGCACUUAAGGUGUGGAGCCGUAGCGAAAGCGAGUUUUAACUGAGCGUUCAGUUACUUGACGUAGACCCGAAACCGGGCGACCUACCCAUGAGCAGGAUGAAGCGAAAGUAAAAUUUCGUGGAGGUCCGAACCCACGAGCGUUGAAAAGCUCGGGGAUGACUUGUGGGUAGCGGUGAAAUUCCAAUCGAGCCCGGAGAUAGCUGGUUCUCCCCGAAAUAGCUUUAGGGCUAGCCUCAAGGUGAGAGAUACGGAGGUAGAGCACUGAAUGUCCUAGGGGGUAUUGCACCUACCGAAGACUAUCAAACUCCGAAUGCCGUCAUCUUAUACUUGGGAGUCAGACUGUGGGUGAUAAGAUUCAUAGUCGAAAGGGCAACAGCCCAGAUCGUCAGCUAAGGUCCCUAAAUGUAAGUUAAGUGGUAAAGGAUGUGGGAUUGCACAGACAACCAGGAUGUUGGCUUAGAAGCAGCCACUCAUUCAAAGAGUGCGUAAUAGCUCACUGGUCGAGUGAUCCUGCGCCGAAGAUUUCCGGGGCUAAAACUUACUACCGAAGCUACGGCAUCAGUAAUGAUGGGUAGGGGAGCUUCCCAUACGGGUUGAAGCAUGACCGUAAGGACAUGUGGACAGUAUGGGAGUGAGAAUGUUGGCAUGAGUAGCGAGAUGUGGGUGAGAAUCCCACAGGCCGUAAACCCAAGGUUUCCAGGGGAAGGUUCGUCCGCCCUGGGUUAGUCGGGACCUAAGCUGAGGCCGAAAGGCGUAGGUGAUGGACAACAGGUUGAUAUUCCUGUACUACCGAUAACCGUUUGAGAGAAGGGAUGACACAGUAGGAUAAGCUAAGCACACUGUUGGUUAUGUGUGCCCAAGCAUUGAGGCAGUCAAAGUAGGCAAAUCCGCUUUGAUAAUGCUGGGAUGUGAUGGGGAGCGAAAUUUAGUAGCGAAGUAGCUGAUUUCACACUGUCAAGAAAAGUCUCUAUCGAGGUUAAAGGUACCCGUACCGCAAACCGACACAGGUGGGUGAGGAGAGUAUCCUAAGGCCAGCGAGAGAACUGUUGUUAAGGAACUCGGCAAAAUGACCCCGUAACUUAGGGAUAAGGGGUGCCACCAUCAGGUGGCCGCAGAGAAUAGGCCCAAGCGACUGUUUACCAAAAACAUAGGUUUCUGCUAAGUCGCAAGACGAUGUAUAGGAGCUGACGCCUGCCCGGUGCUGGAAGGUUAAGGGGAUCUGUUAGAGCAAUCGAAGCAGUGAACUUAAGCCCCAGUAAACGGCGGCCGUAACUAUAACGGUCCUAAGGUAGCGAAAUUCCUUGUCGGGUAAGUUCCGACCCGCACGAAAGGCGUAACGAUUUGGGCACUGUCUCAACAACAGACUCGGUGAAAUUGUAAUUCCGGUGAAGAUGCCGGAUACCUGCGACAGGACGGAAAGACCCCAUGGAGCUUUACUGUAGCUUGACAUUGGGUCUUGGUACUACAUGUACAGGAUAGGUGGGAGGCUUUGAAACCAGGACGCCAGUUUUGGCGGAGCCAUCCUUGGGAUACCACCCUUGUAGUACUGGGACUCUAACCAUAGGCCAUGAAUCUGGUCUUGGGACACUGUCAGGUGGGCAGUUUGACUGGGGCGGUCGCCUCCCAAAAGGUAACGGAGGCGCUCAAAGGUUCUCUCAGUACGGUCGGAAAUCGUACGUAGAGUGUAAAGGCAAAAGAGAGCUUGAUUGCAAGACAUACAGGUCGAGCAAGGAUGAAAAUCGGACUUAGUGAUCCGGUGGUUCUGCGUGGAAGGGCCAUCGCUCAACGGAUAAAAGCUACCCUGGGGAUAACAGGCUUAUCUCCCCCAAGAGUCCACAUCGACGGGGAGGUUUGGCACCUCGAUGUCGGCUCAUCACAUCCUGGGGCUGUAGUAGGUCCCAAGGGUUGGGCUGUUCGCCCAUUAAAGUGGUACGCGAGCUGGGUUCAGAACGUCGUGAGACAGUUCGGUCCCUAUCCGUCGCAGGCGUAGGAAAUUUGAGAAGACCUGUCCUUAGUACGAGAGGACCGGGAUGGACGUACCUCUGGUGUACCAGUUGUUCUGCCAAGGGCAUGGCUGGGUAGCUAUGUACGGAAUGGAUAAGCGCUGAAAGCAUCUAAGCGCGAAGCCAACUUCAAGAUAAGAUUUCCCACCGCAAGGGUAAGACCCCAGAAAGACUAUCUGGUUGAUAGGUCGAAGGUGAAAGUGCAGCAAUGUAUUUAGCUUAUCGAUACUAAUAGGUCGAGGACUUGACCAA